This 497-nucleotide ribosomal RNA is filed under the name uncultured bacterium. RNAcentral's name for it is "partial 16S ribosomal RNA". It matches the Rfam family "Bacterial small subunit ribosomal RNA", at positions 28 to 507 of the family's 1533-position model. The record is from RNAcentral.
GAUGAACGCUGGCGGCGUGCCUAAUACAUGCAAGUCGAGCGAACGGACGAGAUGCUUGCUUCUCUGAUUUUAGCGGCGGACGGGUGAGUAACACGUGGAUAACCUACCUAUAAGACUGGGAUAACUUCGGGAAACCGUAGCUAAUACCGGAUAAUAUUUUGAACCGCAUGGUUCAAAAGUGAAAGACGGUCUUGCUUUCACUUAUAGAUGGAUCCGCGCUGCAUUAGCUAGUUGGUAAGGUAACGGCUUACCAAGGCAACGAUGCAUAGCCGACCUGAGAGGGUGAUCGGCCACACUGGAACUGAGACACGGUCCAGACUCCUACGGGAGGCAGCAGUAGGGAAUCUUCCGCAAUGGGCGAAAGCCUGACGGAGCAACGCCGCGUGAGUGAUGAAGGUCUUCGGAUCGUAAAACUCUGUUAUUAGGGAAGAACAUAUGUGUAAGUAACUGUUAACAUCUUGACGGUAUCUAAUCAGAAAGCCACGGCUAACUACGUG